UUCGUCCUAGUGUGGGACUCCUCAGCAGUGUGCAUCCACGACUCUGUUGGGGGUCGAACCCAGGACCCU
This 69-nucleotide non-coding RNA is filed under the name Schistosoma japonicum. The record is from RNAcentral. Lineage: Eukaryota; Metazoa; Platyhelminthes; Trematoda; Strigeidida; Schistosomatidae.